GGGACGUCGCAGCGCCAGGGUCUGCCUUAAGCUACCAAGACAGAAGUUGUUUCUGCGAUUAACUCUUGUCAGUGGGGAAUCCAUCCAGCGACCUCCUCCCACUGAGGGUAAUCAAGAAGCUGAGGGAUGAAGA
Long non-coding RNA from Mastomys coucha (southern multimammate mouse), 133 nucleotides. RefSeq lists it as uncharacterized. NCBI's taxonomy places the organism in Eukaryota, Metazoa, Chordata, Mammalia, Rodentia, Muridae. The transcript has 3 exons. The record is from RefSeq and is a predicted model, not a curated record.